Onychostruthus taczanowskii (white-rumped snowfinch) is the source of this 409-nucleotide long non-coding RNA. RefSeq lists it as uncharacterized. Lineage: Eukaryota; Metazoa; Chordata; Aves; Passeriformes; Passeridae. The transcript is spliced from 3 exons. The record is from RefSeq and is a predicted model, not a curated record.
GCCGGCCGCGAUCCCGGCCCGGCGUGCGUGUCCCCCGGCGGCCGGCCGCUCUCCCGGAUCGGGGCUGGAGCGCAUCCGGAGCCGCCGGUGGCGGUGCCGCGCCGCCGGCUUUAAGGAAUUCACCGGGGCUCUCCGCUGCCGUGGAAAUGUCUGUGCAUCCUCCUCCGCCUCCCAGCCCGGUGCCUCACCAGGACCGUGAACAUCAGCACAGGAACAGGAGGUGCAAAUGCUGUGCCUAAUCAAAGGCAAGAUGCGGCCGCUCGCACGUACAGGACUACUCAUAUUUUCUGUACUUUCUGGAUAUUGGGACAUGAAUACCUACAGUGAUUGUAAACACACUCAGGGGCAGGAAGACUUUCUCUAGCUUCUGUGUAACCCUCACACACCUCUCUGAUCCUUCACAAUGAGG